RNAcentral lists this ribosomal RNA (253 nucleotides) under uncultured bacterium. Its description in RNAcentral is "partial 16S ribosomal RNA". It matches the Rfam family "Bacterial small subunit ribosomal RNA", at positions 524 to 776 of the family's 1533-position model. The record is from RNAcentral.
AACGUAGGUGGCGAGCGUUAUCCGGAUUUACUGGGCGUAAAGCGUGUGCAGGCGGCUUAUCAAGUGGUGUAUGAAAUAUCCAGGCUCAACCUGGAGGGGUUAUGCCAGACUGGUAGGCUAGAGUGCGAGAGAGGGGCGUGGAAUUCCGGGUGUAGCGGUGAAAUGCGCAGAUAUCGGGAAGAACACCCGUGGCGAAGGCGGCUCUCUGGAACGCAACUGACGCUGAGACGCGAAAGCGUGGGGAGCAAACAGG